AUCUGUGUCAACUGUUCUGAUCAGUAUUCUGCUGUGGCCUUUCUGGGAAGCAUCUAAGGCGUGCAACAACAUUCUAGUAUCAGCUUCCUCGUGUGAACAUGGACUUAACAAUUCAUAGCUGUGUUCUGCAGUAUUUCCAAGGGCGUUGAUUUUGUCAGUUACUACGAUCUCAUUGUCGAUACCAGCACUGGUUAUUUUAUCAGCGAGAAAAUGAAACAACUCAAUUUUAUUUUCGUCUAGGCGCAAGAAUUCCUG
Molecule: long non-coding RNA, 255 nt
Filed under: Mytilus galloprovincialis (Mediterranean mussel)
Lineage: Eukaryota; Metazoa; Mollusca; Bivalvia; Mytilida; Mytilidae
Source: RNAcentral